GGUUCAACUGAUUUGAAGAGCUUGCUCAGAUAUGACGAUGGACAUUGCAAAGAGUGGCGAACGGGUGAGUAACACGUGGGAAACCUACCUCUUAGCAGGGGAUAACAUUUGGAAACAGAUGCUAAUACCGUAUAACAAUAGCAACCGCAUGGUUGCUACUUAAAAGAUGGUUCUGCUAUCACUAAGAGAUGGUCCCGCGGUGCAUUAGUUAGUUGGUGAGGUAAUGGCUCACCAAGACGAUGAUGCAUAGCCGAGUUGAGAGACUGAUCGGCCACAAUGGGACUGAGACACGGCCCAUACUCCUACGGGAGGCAGCAGUAGGGAAUCUUCCACAAUGGGCGAAAGCCUGAUGGAGCAACGCCGCGUGUGUGAUGAAGGGUUUCGGCUCGUAAAACACUGUUGUAAGAGAAGAAUGACAUUGAGAGUAACUGUUCAAUGUGUGACGGUAUCUUACCAGAAAGGAACGGCUAAAUACGUGCCAGCAGCCGCGGUAAUACGUAUGUUCCAAGCGUUAUCCGGAUUUAUUGGGCGUAAAGCGAGCGCAGACGGUUAUUUAAGUCUGAAGUGAAAGCCCUCAGCUCAACUGAGGAAUUGCUUUGGAAACUGGAUGACUUGAGUGCAGUAGAGGAAAGUGGAACUCCAUGUGUAGCGGUGAAAUGCGUAGAUAUAUGGAAGAACACCAGUGGCGAAGGCGGCUUUCUGGACUGUAACUGACGUUGAGGCUC
RNAcentral lists this ribosomal RNA (725 nucleotides) under Weissella cibaria. RNAcentral describes it as "bacterial SSU rRNA". It matches the Rfam family "Bacterial small subunit ribosomal RNA", at positions 60 to 754 of the family's 1533-position model. The record is from RNAcentral. Lineage: Bacteria; Bacillati; Bacillota; Bacilli; Lactobacillales; Lactobacillaceae.